UACGAAGGGUGCAAGCGUUACUCGGAAUUACUGGGCGUAAAGCGCGCGUAGGUGGUUCGUUAAGUUGGAUGUGAAAGCCCCGGGCUCAACCUGGGAACUGCAUCCAAAACUGGCGAGCUAGAGUACGGUAGAGGGUGGUGGAAUUUCCUGUGUAGCGGUGAAAUGCGUAGAUAUAGGAAGGAACACCAGUGGCGAAGGCGACCACCUGGACUGAUACUGACACUGAGGUGCGAAAGCGUGGGGAGCAAACAGG
This 253-nucleotide ribosomal RNA is filed under the name uncultured bacterium. Its description in RNAcentral is "partial 16S ribosomal RNA". It matches the Rfam family "Bacterial small subunit ribosomal RNA", at positions 524 to 776 of the family's 1533-position model. The record is from RNAcentral.